This 1650-nucleotide ribosomal RNA is filed under the name Triticum aestivum (bread wheat). RNAcentral's name for it is "partial small subunit ribosomal RNA". The record is from RNAcentral. Lineage: Eukaryota; Viridiplantae; Streptophyta; Magnoliopsida; Poales; Poaceae.
AUGGACGCCACCCGCGCCCUCCUCCUGCCCCGCUCCGACGGCGCCGUGCCCGGCGUCGUCGACUUCCGCGGCGGCCCCGCGCCCCGCGCCUCCACCGGCCGAUGGUCCGCCGCCAUGUUCGUCCUCGGUGUGGAGAUCGCGGAGCGGUUCGCGUACCACGGCGUGUCGGCCAACCUCAUCAGCUACCUGACGGGCCCGCUUGGGGAGUCCACGGCCGGCGCCGCCGCGGCGAUCAACGCGUGGAGCGGCGUCGCCACGAUGCUGCCGCUGCUGGUGGCCUGCGUCGCCGACGCCUGGCUCGGCCGGUUCCGCACCAUCGUGCUCGCCUCCGUCCUCUUCGUCGUGAGCAUGGGCAUGCUGACCCUGUCCUCGGCGCUCCCGGUGUUCCACUCGGACGGGUGCACCAGCUUCACCUCGCUGUCGGGCGCGUGCUCGCCGUCGCCGGUGCAGGUGACCAUCUUCUACGUCUCGCUCUACCUGGUGGCGCUGGCGGAGGCCGGGCACAAGCCGUGCGCGCAGGCGUUCGGCGCCGACCAGUUCGACCAGCACCACCCCGAGGAGUCCGUCUCCCGGAGCUCCUUCUUCAACUGGUGGUACUUCGGCAUGUGCUCCGGCACCGCCGCCACCACCAUGGUCUCCAGCUACAUCCAGGACAACAUCGGCUGGGGCCUCGGCUUCGGCAUCCCCUGCCUCGUCAUGGUCUUGGCGCUCGCCAUGUUCCUGCUAGGCACCCGCCGCUACCGCUACUACACCUCCACCCAGUCCAGCCCCUUCGCCCGCCUCGCCAGGGCCUUCGUCGCGCUCCUCAAAGGCUCCAAGUCCAGCCAAUGCGCCAACACUCUUGCCGGCGAGGAUGGAGAAUUCAACGCGGAGCACCGUGAGGAGGUUAGGGGCCUGCUGCGGCUGUUCCCCAUCUGGGCGACGUGCAUCAUCUACGCCGUCAUCUUCUCCCAGUCCUCGACCUUCUUCACGAAGCAGGCCGCGACGCUGGACCGGCGGAUCGGGGCCACCUUCCGCGUGCCGCCGGCGGCGCUGCAGACGUUCAUCAGCCUGACCAUCAUCACCUUCAUCCCGGUCUACGACCGGCUGUUCGUGCCGGCGGCGCGGCGGUUCACGCGCCUGUCCUCGGGCAUCACCAUGCUGCAGAGGAUCGGCACGGGCCUCGUCCUGGCGCUGGUGGCCAUGGUGGUGGCGGCGCUGGUGGAGGCGAGGCGGCUGGGCGUGGCGCGGGAGGCCGGCCUCGUGGACGACCCCAAGGCGGCGCUGCCGAUGAGCCUGUGGUGGAUGGUGCCGCAGUACGUGCUGUUCGGGCUGUCGGACGUGUUCGCCAUGAUCGGGCUGCAGGAGUUCUUCUACGACCAGGUGCCCGACGCGCUGCGCAGCCUGGGGCUGGCCUUCUUCCUCAGCAUCUUCGGGGUGGGCCACUUCCUCAGCAGCUUCCUCAUCUCCGCCAUCGACGGCGCCACCAAGAAGGGCGGCGCCAGCUGGUUCUCCAACAACCUCAACCGCGCCCACCUCGACUACUUCUACUGGCUGCUCGCCGGGCUCUGCGCGGCGGAGCUGGCCGCGUUCGUGGUUGUCUCGCGCGUCUAUGUUUACAAGAAGAAGGUGGCUCACCAUGACCAUGACGACGGUGGCGCUGUCAUGUGA